UUAAGUUAAAAAGGGCGCAUGGUGAAUGCCUUGGCACUAGAAGCCGAUGAAGGACGGGACUAACACCGAUAUGCUUCGGGGAGCUGUACGUAAGCUUUGAUCCGGAGAUUUCCGAAUGGGGAAACCCAGCAGCUUUAAUCAGCUGUUACUAUAUAGUGAAUUCAUAGCUAUAUAGAGGUAGACGUGGGGAACUGAAACAUCUCAGUACCCACAGGAGCAGAAAGAAAUUUCGAUUCCCUAAGUAGCGGCGAGCGAACGGGGAACAGCCCAAACCAACGAGCUUGCUCGUUGGGGUUGUAGGACUGAACAUUUGAGUUACCAAAGUUGUUGAUAAUCGAACAAUCUGGGAAGGUUGGCGAAACAGGGUGAUAGCCCCGUAGGUGAAAUCAAUGACCCUCAGUUCAGGAUCCUGAGUACGGCGACACACGUGAAACGUCGUCGGAAUCCGGGAGGACCAUCUCCCAAGGCUAAAUACUCUCUAGUGACCGAUAGUGAACCAGUACCGUGAGGGAAAGGUGAAAAGCACCCCGGAAGGGGAGUGAAAUAGUUCCUGAAACCAUGUGCCUACAAGCAGUUAGAGCCCGUUAAUGGGUGAUAGCGUGCCUCUUGUAGAAUGAACCGGCGAGUUACGGUAACAUGCAAGGUUAAGGUUUAAAAGCCGGAGCCGCAGCGAAAGCGAGUCUGAAAUGGGCGUUUGAGUAUGUUGCUGUAGACCCGAAACCAGGUGAUCUACCCAUGUCCAGGCUGAAGGUGCGGUAAAACGCACUGGAGGGCCGAACCCGUGUACGUUGAAAAGUGCUGGGAUGAGGUGUGGGUAGCGGUGAAAUUCCAAACGAACUUGGAGAUAGCUGGUUCUCUCCGAAAUAGCUUUAGGGCUAGCCUCGGACGUAGAAUCAUGGAGGUAGAGCCACUGUUUGGAUGAGGGGCCCGUCAUGGGUUACUAAGUUCAGAUAAACUCCGAAUACCAUUGAUUUUUAUCCGGGAGUCAGACGGUGAGUGAUAAGAUCCAUCGUCAAAAGGGGAACAGCCCAGACCACCAGUUAAGGUCCCUAAAUAUAUGCUAAGUGGAAAAGGAUGUGGAGUUGCAUAGACAACUAGGAUGUUGGCUCAGAAGCAGCCAUCAUUUAAAGAGUGCGUAAUAGCUCACUAGUCGAGUGAUUCCGCGCCGAAAAUUUACCGGGGCUAAGCAUAUUACCGAGACUGUGGACUUGACCUUUGGUCAAGUGAUAGGAGAGCGUUCUAAGGGCAAUGAAGCCAGACCGUAAGGACUGGUGGAGCGCUUAGAAGUGAGAAUGCCGGUAUGAGUAGCGAAAGAUCAGUGAGAAUCUGAUCCACCGAAUGACUAAGGUUUCCUGGGGAAGGCUCGUCCUCCCAGGGUUAGUCGGGACCUAAGCCGAGGCCGAAAGGCGUAGGCGAUGGAUAACAGGUUGAGAUUCCUGUACUAGUUGAUGAUGUUUGAGCGAUGGAGGGACGCAGGAGGCUAAGUUGUGCAUCCAGUUGGAAAGGGAUGUUCAAGCAACGAGUCAGUCAAUGAGUUAAAUGCUUAUUGGCGGGUUGACAAGUUGUGAUGAGGACCGAAAUUUAAGUAGGGAAGCAACCAACGUCACACUGCCGAGAAAAGCUUCUAGUGAGUCAUCAACUACCCGUACCGCAAACCGACACAGGUAGUCGAGGAGAGAAUCCUCAGGUGAGCGAGUGAACUCUCGUUAAGGAACUCGGCAAAAUGACCCCGUAACUUCGGGAGAAGGGGUGCUGUGCGCAAGCACAGCCGCAGUGAAAAGGCCCAGGCGACUGUUUAUCAAAAACACAGGUUUCUGCAAAAUCGUAAGAUGACGUAUAGGGGCUGACGCCUGCCCGGUGCUGGAAGGUUAAGUGGAUGAGUUAGCUUCGGCGAAGCCCAGAAAUGAAGCCCCAGUAAACGGCGGCCGUAACUAUAACGGUCCUAAGGUAGCGAAAUUCCUUGUCGGGUAAGUUCCGACCCGCACGAAAGGCGUAACGAUCUGGGCACUGUCUCAACGAGAGACUCGGUGAAAUUAAGAUACCUGUGAAGAAGCAGGUUACCCGCGACAGGACGGAAAGACCCCAUGGAGCUUUACUGUAGCUUGAUAUUGGGUGUUGACACAGCUUGUACAGGAUAGGUAGGAGCCAUUGAAGCCGGAACGCUAGUUUCGGCAGAGGCGUUGGUGGGAUACUACCCUCGCUGUAUGAACACUCUAACCCGCGCCACUCAGCGUGGCGGGAGACAGUGUCAGGUAGGCAGUUUGACUGGGGCGGUCGCCUCCCAAACAGUAACGGAGGCGCCCAAAGGUUCCCUCAGAAUGGUUGGAAAUCAUUCAACGAGUGUAAAGGCAGAAGGGAGCUUGACUGCGAGACAGACAGGUCGAGCAGGGACGAAAGUCGGGCUUAGUGAUCCGGUGGUACCGUAUGGAAGGGCCAUCGCUCAACGGAUAAAAGCUACCCUGGGGAUAACAGGCUUAUCUCCCCCAAGAGUCCACAUCGACGGGGAGGUUUGGCACCUCGAUGUCGGCUCAUCGCAUCCUGGGGCUGUAGUCGGUCCCAAGGGUUGGGCUGUUCGCCCAUUAAAGCGGUACGCGAGCUGGGUUCAGAACGUCGUGAGACAGUUCGGUCCCUAUCCGUCGCGGGCGUAGGAAAUUUGAGAGGAGCUGUCCUUAGUACGAGAGGACCGGGAUGGACAUACCGCUGGUGUACCAGUUGCGCCGCCAGGCGCACCGCUGGGUAGCUACGUAUGGAUGAGAUAAACGCUGAAAGCAUCUAAGUGUGAAACUCACCUCAAGAUGAGAUUUCCCAUUCCUAUAUGGAAGUAAGACCCCUGAGAGAUGAUCAGGUAGAUAGGUUGGAAGUGGAAGUGCAGUGAUGUACGGAGCGGACCAAUACUAAUCGGUCGAGGACUUAACC
RNAcentral lists this ribosomal RNA (2916 nucleotides) under Lentilactobacillus parabuchneri. Its description in RNAcentral is "bacterial LSU rRNA". It matches the Rfam family "Bacterial large subunit ribosomal RNA". Lineage: Bacteria; Bacillati; Bacillota; Bacilli; Lactobacillales; Lactobacillaceae. The record is from RNAcentral.